AUUGAACGCUGGCGGCAGGCCUAACACAUGCAAGUCGAACGCGUAGCGGACGGGUGAGUAAUGUCUGGGUAACUGCCUGAUGGCGGGGGAUAUCUUCUGGAAACGGUAGCUUAUCCCGCAUACCAUCAGCUGUCCCCAUAUGGGAUUACCUUGUUGGUUGGGUAAAGGCUAACAAAGGCGACGAUCCCUAGCUGGUUUGAGAGGAUGACCAGCCACACUGGAACUGAGACACGGCCCAGACUCCUACGGGAGGCAGCAGUGGGGAAUAUUGCACAAUGGGCGCAAGCCUGAUGCAGCCAUGCCGCGUGUAUGAAGAAGGCCUUAGGGUUGUAAAGUACUUUCAGCAGGGAGGCGUUACCGGCAGAAGAAGCACCGGCUAACUCCGUGCCAGCAGCCGCGGUAAUUC
This 406-nucleotide ribosomal RNA is filed under the name uncultured bacterium. RNAcentral's name for it is "partial 16S ribosomal RNA". It matches the Rfam family "Bacterial small subunit ribosomal RNA", at positions 30 to 526 of the family's 1533-position model. The record is from RNAcentral.